UUAAGCGACUAAGCGUACACGGUGGAUGCCCUGGCAGUCAGAGGCGAUGAAGGACGUUCUAAUCUGCGAUAAGCGUCGGUAAGGUGAUAUGAACCGUUAUAACCGGCGAUUUCCGAAUGGGGAAACCCAGUGUGUUUCGACACACUAUCAUUAACUGAAUCCAUAGGUUAAUGAGGCGAACCGGGGGAACUGAAACAUCUAAGUACCCCGAGGAAAAGAAAUCAACCGAGAUUCCCCCAGUAGCGGCGAGCGAACGGGGAGCAGCCCAGAGCCUGAAUCAGUGUGUGUGUUAGUGGAAGCGUCUGGAAAGGCGCGCGAUACAGGGUGACAGCCCCGUACACAAAAAUGCACAUGCUGUGAGCUCGAUGAGUAGGGCGGGACACGUGGUAUCCUGUCUGAAUAUGGGGGGACCAUCCUCCAAGGCUAAAUACUCCUGACUGACCGAUAGUGAACCAGUACCGUGAGGGAAAGGCGAAAAGAACCCCGGCGAGGGGAGUGAAAAAGAACCUGAAACCGUGUACGUACAAGCAGUGGGAGCACGCUUAGGCGUGUGACUGCGUACCUUUUGUAUAAUGGGUCAGCGACUUAUAUUCUGUAGCAAGGUUAACCGAAUAGGGGAGCCGAAGGGAAACCGAGUCUUAACUGGGCGUUAAGUUGCAGGGUAUAGACCCGAAACCCGGUGAUCUAGCCAUGGGCAGGUUGAAGGUUGGGUAACACUAACUGGAGGACCGAACCGACUAAUGUUGAAAAAUUAGCGGAUGACUUGUGGCUGGGGGUGAAAGGCCAAUCAAACCGGGAGAUAGCUGGUUCUCCCCGAAAGCUAUUUAGGUAGCGCCUCGUGAACUCAUCUCCGGGGGUAGAGCACUGUUUCGGCAAGGGGGUCAUCCCGACUUACCAACCCGAUGCAAACUGCGAAUACCGGAGAAUGUUAUCACGGGAGACACACGGCGGGUGCUAACGUCCGUCGUGAAGAGGGAAACAACCCAGACCGCCAGCUAAGGUCCCAAAGUCAUGGUUAAGUGGGAAACGAUGUGGGAAGGCCCAGACAGCCAGGAUGUUGGCUUAGAAGCAGCCAUCAUUUAAAGAAAGCGUAAUAGCUCACUGGUCGAGUCGGCCUGCGCGGAAGAUGUAACGGGGCUAAACCAUGCACCGAAGCUGCGGCAGCGACGCUGAUGCGUUGUUGGGUAGGGGAGCGUUCUGUAAGCCUGUGAAGGUGUGCUGUGAGGCAUGCUGGAGGUAUCAGAAGUGCGAAUGCUGACAUAAGUAACGAUAAAGCGGGUGAAAAGCCCGCUCGCCGGAAGACCAAGGGUUCCUGUCCAACGUUAAUCGGGGCAGGGUGAGUCGACCCCUAAGGCGAGGCCGAAAGGCGUAGUCGAUGGGAAACAGGUUAAUAUUCCUGUACUUGGUGUUACUGCGAAGGGGGGACGGAGAAGGCUAUGUUGGCCGGGCGACGGUUGUCCCGGUUUAAGCGUGUAGGCUGGUUUUCCAGGCAAAUCCGGAAAAUCAAGGCUGAGGCGUGAUGACGAGGCACUACGGUGCUGAAGCAACAAAUGCCCUGCUUCCAGGAAAAGCCUCUAAGCAUCAGGUAACAUCAAAUCGUACCCCAAACCGACACAGGUGGUCAGGUAGAGAAUACCAAGGCGCUUGAGAGAACUCGGGUGAAGGAACUAGGCAAAAUGGUGCCGUAACUUCGGGAGAAGGCACGCUGAUAUGUAGGUGAAGUCCCUCGCGGAUGGAGCUGAAAUCAGUCGAAGAUACCAGCUGGCUGCAACUGUUUAUUAAAAACACAGCACUGUGCAAACACGAAAGUGGACGUAUACGGUGUGACGCCUGCCCGGUGCCGGAAGGUUAAUUGAUGGGGUCAGCGCAAGCGAAGCUCUUGAUCGAAGCCCCGGUAAACGGCGGCCGUAACUAUAACGGUCCUAAGGUAGCGAAAUUCCUUGUCGGGUAAGUUCCGACCUGCACGAAUGGCGUAAUGAUGGCCAGGCUGUCUCCACCCGAGACUCAGUGAAAUUGAACUCGCUGUGAAGAUGCAGUGUACCCGCGGCAAGACGGAAAGACCCCGUGAACCUUUACUAUAGCUUGACACUGAACAUUGAGCCUUGAUGUGUAGGAUAGGUGGGAGGCUUAGAAGUGUGGACGCCAGUCUGCAUGGAGCCGACCUUGAAAUACCACCCUUUAAUGUUUGAUGUUCUAACGUUGACCCGUAAUCCGGGUUGCGGACAGUGUCUGGUGGGUAGUUUGACUGGGGCGGUCUCCUCCUAAAGAGUAACGGAGGAGCACGAAGGUUGGCUAAUCCUGGUCGGACAUCAGGAGGUUAGUGCAAUGGCAUAAGCCAGCUUGACUGCGAGCGUGACGGCGCGAGCAGGUGCGAAAGCAGGUCAUAGUGAUCCGGUGGUUCUGAAUGGAAGGGCCAUCGCUCAACGGAUAAAAGGUACUCCGGGGAUAACAGGCUGAUACCGCCCAAGAGUUCAUAUCGACGGCGGUGUUUGGCACCUCGAUGUCGGCUCAUCACAUCCUGGGGCUGAAGUAGGUCCCAAGGGUAUGGCUGUUCGCCAUUUAAAGUGGUACGCGAGCUGGGUUUAGAACGUCGUGAGACAGUUCGGUCCCUAUCUGCCGUGGGCGCUGGAGAACUGAGGGGGGCUGCUCCUAGUACGAGAGGACCGGAGUGGACGCAUCACUGGUGUUCGGGUUGUCAUGCCAAUGGCACUGCCCGGUAGCUAAAUGCGGAAGAGAUAAGUGCUGAAAGCAUCUAAGCACGAAACUUGCCCCGAGAUGAGUUCUCCCUGACCCUUUAAGGGUCCUGAAGGAACGUUGAAGACGACGACGUUGAUAGGCCGGGUGUGUAAGCGCAGCGAUGCGUUGAGCUAACCGGUACUAAUGAACCGUGAGGCUUAACCUU
RNAcentral lists this ribosomal RNA (2902 nucleotides) under Escherichia coli 2-005-03_S1_C1. Its description in RNAcentral is "bacterial LSU rRNA". It matches the Rfam family "Bacterial large subunit ribosomal RNA". Lineage: Bacteria; Pseudomonadati; Pseudomonadota; Gammaproteobacteria; Enterobacterales; Enterobacteriaceae. The record is from RNAcentral.